This is a long non-coding RNA of Heterocephalus glaber (naked mole-rat), 3838 nucleotides long. The record is from Ensembl. NCBI's taxonomy places the organism in Eukaryota, Metazoa, Chordata, Mammalia, Rodentia, Bathyergidae.
ACUUCCUUCCUCUUGUACUGCCGCUGCUACUGCCUCCUCCCCCACCUUUCUCCACUGCCACCACCACCAUCACCACCACCCUGCUCUCAUCUUGGACUGGGGGUUGGGAGGAGGCGUGACCUCUAACAUGCUGAAGUUCUUUCUCAUAUCUAAAUCCAGUGCAGCAUUAGCCAUGUGGGUCCCUGGCCUUAGGUGACAGAUAGAGCAGGGCCCUCUUCUUCCCCUGGGACACUUGUUUCCUGUUCUGUCAAUUCAAAUUGGAGUGGUCAAGAGGGCCCUGGGAGUGAUUUCUCUCCAGGACUGUGAUCUGUGGCUCCCUGACAACUAUGGGAGACAGAUUCAGUGGGGCUCCCCAGGGUUAGCAUUAUGGAAUUUCCUGUUAUUCUCAGUGUCUGUAAGGACUGAACAGGGAGUCUGCUCAUCAAGUACGACAGUUGCACAGGGUCUCUGCUACCUCAGAAACCAGGGAUAAUAUUCUUCAGAGUGACCCUGACAAAAUGAGGGAGAUGAAUCAUCACAACCAAGACAAUGUUCAGAGGAGAUGAACAUGUGGUAGUAUGUACAAAAACCAAAACUCAGAACUAAUAUAUUAAUAUGGCACAUGGGACAAGACAAAUGGGCAGUGAUUGACUUGACACAUAUAUAGUUAAAUAAAGAACUGGGUGCACAAGUUGAAUGAGUCCACAGUUUUAGAACAGGUUUCCUCUCUCUUCCCUCCCUCCCUUCUUUCUUUUAUUCUUUCCAAAACUAAUAUGGAUACUAGUGUAUAGUAACAAAAACAUAGAGGAGUUGAGAAGUAUCAGAAUGUGAGUGUACGAACUAGAAGUAACCCCAGUCAUCUAACCCAACCCACUUACUGUGAAGUUGGGGAAAUGGGCCCAUUACUGUUAGUGUUUAGAAACAGGCCUAGAAUACAGCCUAGUAAUGUAUGGUCCUUCUCACAGCCCUACUCAGCAUGUUCCACUCUACCUGCCACUGGUUAUGACUUGGUUAUGAGCAACAAACACCUUUAAUACAUGUGGAAAAGUGGAGAGGAUGUGAAGAGCAAAAGCAAUGUGUCAAAGGACUGGGUGUUGGGGUUUUCUUUUUUUAAUUUAGAAAGAAGGAAGCUGGCUGGGGAUUUAGCUCAGUGGUUUUGCCGUCUGCUAUGCAAGCAUAAGGACCUGAGUUCAAUCCCCAGUGCCAAAAAAAAAAAAAAAAAGAAAGAAGGAAGCUGACGAGGUAGCAUUCAAUUGUGGAACACCUACUAUAUGACAAGUAUGCUAAUACCAUCUUCAAAAUGUGACUCCUAAAUCAGGACAGAGUUGAGUUCUCUCAUGACCUAUGUUCUCCAUUUCUUCUGAGAAUGAUAGGGGGGAAAUGAGGUUGAGUGAAACCCAGGGAUAGAUUUUGCUAUUGAUAGGAGUGAGCAUGGGCACCUAGUAUGUCCUCAAUAACAUUUGCCAAGUGGAAUGAAUGGCUGCUAAGGAAAGCCCUAGUAUCCUUCAUUCUCCUGAAAGCAGAGGGCUGGAUUAUAUCACCUUUUGAGCUCAAUUCAGUCUUAUUAUGUUCUAAUGUUCAAUUGCUCCAUUUCAGAUCUUUCCAAUCUGGGCCUCCCAUUCUGAGAUGAGUAUGUAUAUCUCCAAAUCAGGAGUCUCCCUAUUUUGGGGAGAUUUAGUCUCCCUUUUUUGGUUUUUUUGUUUUUUGAAACAAGGUCUCACAAUGUAGUUCAGACUGGUCUUGAACUCAUCUUGUAGCCCAGGCUGGCCUCAAACUCACAGCAAUCCUCCUGCCUCAGCCUCCCAAGUGCCAAGAUUAUAGGCAUGCAUCACCAUACACCUCUUAGUCUCUCUUCUUAAAACUCAAGGUUCCAUAACAAACCCACCUCAAAUUACAGGCCUAUUGGGGACCAAUCGGUAACAGUACAGUUGGUCUUCACACCUUUGGGAGGCCUGGGUGGAAGAGGCAACCACCAAAAUCAAGAUUUCAAUCUAAUUUUGUGCCUAUAGCUUGAGGUUCUUGGCCCCAGUGCUGACUACCAGCCCUGAGCCCAGCUAAAAAAUAGCCCAGCUUUUUAUAUGAAGAGAAGCUGAGGAUGUAUUUGGAUUUUAUCCCACAUUGCAAAGGUCAUUAGUGCCUAGAUUAGGUCUAUCUCACAUCCCUCAGUUUAUGUUUUCUAUUUUAGUCCUUUAGUGAACCAGACAUAGCUAUCUUGGAAUCUGAAUUUUUGGUUGUGUGUGUGUGUGUGUGUGUGUGUGUGUGUGUGUGUGUGUGUGAAGGCUAGAAGUUGGUCACUGAGGAAAUCUUUACAGAAGUAUGGUUACCAGGCCAGGAGGCCUGGCCUUUACUGGUUUAAUUAUACUAUGUAGAAUGGAACACACCCACUUUGAUGUGCAUAUUGUAAGAAAGACAAAACCGAACCAUGAUAAAAUAAAUGAAAUGUAUAAUCUAGUAUGCUACUUCAAUGUACAGUAAAGGUUAAAAGGACUAGAGAAAUUGUAAGAAAGGCUAUAGCUGUGGGUGGGUGUGUGAGUGGAGGUAGUGGGCAGACUGAGAGUUCCAGACUGAGAAACUCUGCCAAAGCAUGGAGGGCAGGAGGUCUAGGCAUGCUUGAGGAGCAGUGAGGGGACUGCCCUGACCAAAGGAGAGGGUUCAAGUGGGAAACCAUAUUGGCAAGGUGGUCUGUGCAGGUCUUCAUAACCCCUGAAGGGCUUGGGUAUUAUUGAAUGAAUGAUGCCUGCUAAUAGUUUUACAGUGAGAAAAAAAAAACCUUCUCAGCUUUGCUUUUGCUACUUCUCUAUGCUCCUAAACAGUCUUGUGCCAGAGAGCCUUCAGCUGCUCUGAGAGACACCAUUUCAUGGUCUGGUCAAUAACAGCCCAGAGUAGUUGUGAGGACUUGAAGUUCAGUUGCAGGACAACUGAUGGUGGCUUCAAAAACUACACAAAGAACGGAAAAUUAUGUGUGCUGCAGCCUGGAGAUUGACAAACAUGGCCCCACCGUUUAACAGAUGUGAAAAGGUGAAUGCCACAAAUUAUAGAUCAAUAAAUGUGAUACUGAUCAAGGGCAAGAUUCUUGGAGAAAUGAUUAGAAGGAUGAUUGGUGAGCACUUACAAAAGGAAGUGAAGAUUGCUCAGCCCCUGCAUUGAUUCAGGAAAAACAAAUCACUUACUCCCAGUUCAACUCAUUUCUUUUGGUAGGGAGAAUGGACAGGUAGAUGAGGGGAAUGUUACACUCAUAGCGUUUGGAGUUUGACAAAACAUUCUCUUAUUAAUCUUGGGACAAUACGGAGAAAAUGUGGGGUGGGUAAAGAGAAACUUAGGCAGACUCUUAACUGGUUAAGUGACUGACUACGCACAAAAGGAUUCUGUUUUAAUGUCACCAGGUCAGAUUUACAAAUUUCACAAUGCUGGUAAAUUCCCUUAUUUUGAUUCCAAAAUGUAACAGUACACAUGUAGGAUGUGAGAGAGUAGCCUAUAAGGUUUUAGAGUAAAUGAAAGUUCAUCGUGAGUUAUAAGUUGCUGCAAAAGGACCACAUUAACUGUAACCGUGAACUGUAUUAAUAAGAGGGUAUCAUUCAGAAGAAAGGAUGUGACCGUCUGUGCUGCUCUGCACCAGUCAGCCUACAGCUGCUGCCUCUGUUCAAUUAUGGGCCCCAGACUUCAAGAGAUGAUGACAAAGGCAUAUCCAGAGAAGAAUGGUGAGAAUAGUGAAAAGACUGGAGAAUCCUAGGAGAAAUUUGUCUACUGUUGCCAAAUCAGUACUGGCCCCAUGGGGAAGAGGAAGAUAUAGAUUUGUUCUGUGUGAUUCCAAAGGCUUUGAGAUCUAAUGGAAGUUAUAGGAAAACAGAUUUAGGUUCAA